Propithecus coquereli (Coquerel's sifaka) is the source of this 457-nucleotide non-coding RNA. The record is from the annotation of a RefSeq genome assembly. NCBI's taxonomy places the organism in Eukaryota, Metazoa, Chordata, Mammalia, Primates, Indriidae.
CAGAGCAGGCCCAGCGCUGGUCUCAGGGCAGCGCUCUGGGGGCGUCUCCACCAUGGCCUGGGCCCUGCUCCUCCUCUCCCUCCUCACUCAGGGCACAGGGUCCGGGGCCCAGUCUGCCCUCACCCAGCCUUCCUCCGUGUCCGGGAAUCCGGGACAGUCGGUCACCAUCUCCUGUGCUGGAACCAGCAGUGACGUUGGGAAGUAUAACUAUGUCUCCUGGUACCAACAGCACCCGGGCACGGCCCCCAAACUCCUGAUUUAUAAUGUGAAUACUCGGACCUCAGGGAUCCCUGAUCGCUUCUCUGGCUCCAAGUCCGGCAACACGGCCUCCCUGACCAUCUCAGGGCUCCUCGCUGAGGACGAGGCUGACUAUCACUGCAGCUCGUACAGGAGUGGUAACGCUCUCCACGGUGGUGCAAGUGCCUGGGGAAUGAAGGUGGCCUCCCUGCUGGGUUGA